UGGGGGAUAUUGCACAAUGGGCGAAAGCCUGAUGCAGCGACGCCGCGUGGGGGAUGAAGGCUUUCGGGUUGUAAACCUCUUUCGCUAUCGAACAAGGCCCGCUUAGGGUGGGUUGAGGGUAGGUGGAGAAGAAGCGCCGGCUAACUACGUGCCAGCAGCCGCGGUAAUACGUAGGGCGCGAGCGUUGUCCGGAAUUAUUGGGCGUAAAGGGCUUGUAGGCGGCUUGUUGCGCCUGCUGUGAAAACGCGGGGCUUAACUUCGCGCGUGCAGUGGGUACGGGCAGGCUUGAGUGUGGUAGGGGUGACUGGAAUUCCAGGUGUAGCGGUGAAAUGCGUAGAGAUCUGGAGGAAUACCGGUGGCGAAGGCGGCCCCCUGGACGAAGACUGACGCUCAGGUGCGAAAGCGUGGGGAGCAAACAGG
This 420-nucleotide ribosomal RNA is filed under the name Chloroflexota bacterium. RNAcentral describes it as "Chloroflexi bacterium partial 16S ribosomal RNA". It matches the Rfam family "Bacterial small subunit ribosomal RNA", at positions 355 to 776 of the family's 1533-position model. Lineage: Bacteria; Bacillati; Chloroflexota. The record is from RNAcentral.